This 851-nucleotide long non-coding RNA is filed under the name Cricetulus griseus (Chinese hamster). RNAcentral's name for it is "lncRNA (ENSCGRG00015039341.1)". The record is from RNAcentral. Lineage: Eukaryota; Metazoa; Chordata; Mammalia; Rodentia; Cricetidae.
CAAUGGAGUACUACUCAGCAGAAAAAACAAAACAAAAACAAAAACAAUGGAAUCUUGAAAUUUGCAGGAAAAUGGAUGGAACUAGAAGAAACCAUUCUGAGCAAGGUAACCCAAUCACAAAAAGACAAACAUGAAUAUCAUCCCAGGAGGAGUCUGCCAGUCACUUCAUGGACCUUUCCUACCAUUGUACUUCACAUGUUCAUCUGAAAUUCAUCUAUAAGGAUAUGUUCCCACAAGUGCCUGAGACCUAAUUUGCAUCAGAAUACCAGACACUUGCCAGAGUCAGAGGAAACGUUGUUGGACCAUGAGUGGAGACCCAAUUCCAGUCCAUGGAAGCAGGAGACUUCUGACCCGCUCAUGCUGCCCCCUCGGUGCCUAGAGGAAGAGCUGGCUUCACUGAUGCUGAAAAUCGGCGAGGCCUCACAUUGUGUUUGAAUCUACAAAGGAUGCCCUUGAACAUACAGGGGAAAUGAGAAUGAGAGAAUCUGAUGCUUUUGCUCUAACUUACCAAUACCCGGUCUCGGGAACUCACCCAAGCAAGCGUGUUGGGCACUAACUGGGCAGAGAAGCGCUCCUGUGGUUCUUUAUUAUUAUUUGUGUAAGUGUUUCCCAACAAACACCCAUUUUUUAUUUAUCUUGGGACUAGUGAAAUCAUUACACCCUCACCUUCACAUGGGUAAAGUCCAUAGUGCCAGUCAACUUGUUAAUCACUUAAAUCAAGGGGCUGGAGGGAUGGCUCAGAGGUUAAGAGCACUGGCUGCUCUUCCAGAGGUCCUGAGUUCAAUUCCCAGCAACCACCUGGUGGCUCACAACCAUCUGUAAUGAGAUCUGGUGCCCUCUUGAGAUGUGCA